GAGGCACGAAAGCGUGGGGAGCAAACAGGAGUAGAUACCCUGGUAGUCCACGCUGUAAACGAUGAGUACUAGGUGUCGGGGGUUACCCCCUUCGGUGCCGCAGCUAACGCAUUAAGUACUCCGCCGGGGAAGUACGCUCGCAAGAGUGAAACUCAAAGGAAUUGACGGGGACCCGAACAAGUAGCGGAGCAUGUGGUUUAAUUCGAAGCAACGCGAAGAACCUUACCUAAGCUUGACAUCCCAAUGACAUCUCCUUAAUCGGAGAGUUCCCUUCGGGGACAUUGGUGACAGGUGGUGCAUGGU
RNAcentral lists this ribosomal RNA (303 nucleotides) under Clostridioides difficile. RNAcentral describes it as "bacterial SSU rRNA". It matches the Rfam family "Bacterial small subunit ribosomal RNA", at positions 748 to 1049 of the family's 1533-position model. The record is from RNAcentral. Lineage: Bacteria; Bacillati; Bacillota; Clostridia; Peptostreptococcales; Peptostreptococcaceae.